GGCCGCGCCCGGGUCGCGCACGCGCCCUGACGGAGUCCCAGCAAGCGCGGGCCCGUCUUCCUCGCGUCUCCUCGGGGAGCGUCGUCGCCGCCACCCUGGGCGCUGAGAGCUUGCGGAGCCGAGCCGCUGUCGAGUCCCAGCGGAAAGAAGCCCAAGGUGCCGGAGAAGCCCGGUCGUGGACGUUGUUGCUCCCUCAUCUUCGAGACCCGCACGCCCUGCGGAGAGGAAAUGACAGGCACGCCGCGACCGUGGGGCGGGGCUCGCACGAGCUCCGGGUUUCCAGAGGCAGGGGCCGGGGCCGUAGAAGGCAGAGUCGCGCGGGGAAGGCCCGGUACCCCGCCCCUUCCGCACCGACCCCUCCCCCGCGGAGCUGGCCCCGGCCCCGGGCCUGUGGAGUGGACGCCGAGGGCGGCGGGCGGCUUCCGAGUUGGACAGAACGGGAGCUGCCGGCGGGAGCAGAGCUGCGAGGAGGUGGCCUUUGAGGGCAGCGCGGGGUCGAAAUCCCAUCCCAGCGCUGUGACCUCUUGGAGCCCACAUUGCCUCUUUGGUGGAGGGGAGGGAGUGGUCCAGCUCCGAGCCGAGCCUGGGAGCUGAAUGACCCAGUGUGCAAGGCGCACCUCGGAGACCGAAAGCAACCGCUCCCCCGGCUUCAAUUUCACACCACCUGCAGAUACACGUCUCAGAAUCUGCGGCUAGGAAGACCUGGGCCGCCAGAAGCUAAACGUGUGCAUUUUGUCAUCAGCCCCGGUUUCUCGUUUUAGAGUGAGUUCCCACCUGCCCUACCUAAACUGACCUGAAACGGAAAGUUGUAUGCCCCCACGACCAUCCUCACUGCAGAACUGCAGAGGGUUUUAAGCUCCUUAUUACCUGUUUCUUAUAAUCCUGUCCCUUUCCAGGCGAGUAUUUAUCGGAUAGUUCUACUUGUUUUAUCAAACUUCCUUUUCUUUUGACUUUAUAAAAAGCAAUGCCGGGAGGCUGAGGCGGGAGAAUCGCUUGAACCCGGGAGGCGGAGGUUGCAGUGAGCUGAGAUCUCGCCAUUGCACUCCAUUCUGGGCAACAAGAGCGAAACUCCGUCUCAAAAAAAAAAAACAAUGUUCGUCCUUAAAAUUAUGUGCAGAAGUUUACUGAAAAGUACAAGUUACUAUUUUUCCUUCUGAAGCACUCCUCACAGGUAACCCCUGUUAGUUUCACAGGUAACCUUAAAAUGCUUAACACAUAUUUGUUGAAUGAAUAAGUGCCCCCCAGUGAAUUUCCUUUGCCUGUACAAACAUAUAUGUACAUACCUUGCUUUUUCUAUUUAACAGUACACUUUUAUCAUUUAACAUCUGCGUGGUAUGGUACUCCAUCCGAUAACCAUCGGAUGUACUAUUAUUUAACCACUCCGCUAUUAAUAGACAUUCAUGCUGUUUAUAUUUUUUGGUUAUAAUAAACAUUGUUGCAGGCGGGAUCAUUGAACAACACAUGGAGUGUCUGACUCAAGCCUUGAGUUGUUUUUCCGGGAGCUGAGAAUCAGUGUGGUGAUAUCGAAAUAACAUGAGCUUGGAAUCUGAAGGUACUGGCUAGGGAGAAGAGCUGCUCAUGUGCUCCCGAUAGAAAGUCCCCCUUGGUCGGGAAGGUUAGGGCCAUCCUCUGACUCAGCAGUUUUAGGAAAUAGAGGGGGAGAAGGAAGGUAUGUACCUUCCUUCCACCAGGGAGGCACGCCCAGCCCUAACCAGCCAGCGAGGCAGUAGGUCCUCCUAGCUCAUCUUCACAACCUGGGCUGGUGUCGGGAAGACUUUCGUUCCAAUGCUAGCUUUGGAAUCCUGGCCUCCAUCCCUUAAAAGCUUUGUGAUCUUAGGUAAGUCACAUCACACUAUCUCAAAGCCCCCGUUUCCUCACAGAAUGGUUGUUUUAGAGUUAUGUUUGUAAAUUACCUGGCACAUGUAGGCAUGUGACAGACUGUAACCAAUGUUACUCAAGGUCAUUUUGCACUGAUUCAUACUUUGAGCCAUUUCCUACUGUAGACUCUAGCACACAUUUUCAAGGCAGCUUCCUGAUAAUAAGGCUGUAGGAUAUUUUUGGGAAAUAAAUCCAAAUUGGCCAUUAAAACCAGAUUCC
Homo sapiens (human) is the source of this 2097-nucleotide long non-coding RNA. Ensembl annotates it as RAB35 antisense RNA 1. Its record names the gene RAB35-AS1. The record is from Ensembl. NCBI's taxonomy places the organism in Eukaryota, Metazoa, Chordata, Mammalia, Primates, Hominidae.